Molecule: ribosomal RNA, 366 nt
Filed under: Triticum aestivum (bread wheat)
Lineage: Eukaryota; Viridiplantae; Streptophyta; Magnoliopsida; Poales; Poaceae
Description: partial small subunit ribosomal RNA
Source: RNAcentral
UGGGACGCCGCAGAGAAAGAAUAUUUCCCUAUGAGAGCCGCACUGCUCACGACGGUGCACGACUAUCUCGGUUACGGAUAUCUCACGGGGCAGGUGGUCCACGGAUUUUCUGGAUGCGUCAGGUGCAUGGAUGACACAACGUAUUGCCAGCUAGAUAGAGAUCCCGGGUCUUUGAAGACCGUGUUCAUGGGACAUCGAAGGUGGCUUCGCGACGAUGACUCAUGGAGAAAACGCAAGGAUCUGUUCGAUGGUGAAACCGAACCCCGAAGACGCCCGCGUACGAGGAGCGGCGAGGAAAUAGACGAGUUGUUGAAAAAUCGGAAAGAUUGCCCACUGCCGGGAAAGAAGCAAAAGGCGCCAGAGCCG